This 426-nucleotide ribosomal RNA is filed under the name uncultured Pseudomonadota bacterium. RNAcentral's name for it is "bacterial SSU rRNA". It matches the Rfam family "Bacterial small subunit ribosomal RNA", at positions 356 to 774 of the family's 1533-position model. The record is from RNAcentral. Lineage: Bacteria; Pseudomonadati; Pseudomonadota.
GGGGAAUAUUGGACAAUGGGCGAAAGCCUGAUCCAGCCAUGCCGCGUGUGUGAAGAAGGUCUUCGGAUUGUAAAGCACUUUAAGUUGGGAGGAAGGGUUUCUGGCUAAUAUCCAGGAAUUUUGACGUUACCGGCAGAAUAAGCACCGGCUAACUUCGUGCCAGCAGCCGCGGUAAUACGAAGGGUGCAAGCGUUAAUCGGAAUUACUGGGCGUAAAGCGCGCGUAGGUGGUUCGUUAAGUUGGAUGGGAAAGCCCCGGGCUCAACCUGGGAACUGCAUCCAAAACUGGCGAUCUCGAGUUCGAGAGAGGUUGGUGGAACUCCGAGUGUAGAGGUGAAAUUCGUAGAUAUUCGGAAGAACACCAGUGGCGAAGGCGGCCAACUGGCUCGAUACUGACGCUGAGGUGCGAAAGCGUGGGGAGCAAACA